CAUCCCUCAUUUCGCUAGCUUUAGACGCCUGUGUCCGUAUGCCGUACGGGCGAACCUUUAUUUCGCUCCGUAAGCGCGUUUAGCGGGUCUCUGAAGCAGUUUCGUCAACUAAUGUGGAGGUGUUUACGAUCGUGGAAAUGGCGCGCAGCGAGUUGACGGAUGCCGAGAUCUCAGAUAUUCUUUAUGGAGAUGCAGGAUCUGAAAUUGACGAUUCUGACAAAGAGGAUUCGUACUCUCCAGACGAAAGCACAAGUGAUGAUUCAGGUAUUUUGUAUUGUGAGUAGUGUUCAUUACUUCACUUGAAUUUAGUACCUCUUAGUACCAAUCUUAGCAUUAUUUUUAUUUUCUAUGCAGAGAGUGGUACAGACCAUCAGUCAACAUCUGUGGUACCUGGUCGUGUGUGCCUAGUGAUGGGCUAAACUGCGAUUUUCCGAUAUCAGUGAUUUCUGUGAAUGCUACUUUUCAGUAUCUGUUAUUCUUAACUGUGAUUUGUCGCAGUUAAGGAACCUAGGUCGUGUAUCCCUCCGCCACAGCUAUUUCUACGAUUUCUGCUACUUCCGCGAUUUCUGCUACUUCUGUGAUUUCUGCGACUUCUGCGAUUUCUGUGACUCCUGCGAUUUCUGCGACUUACUGCCGUAUGAAAAAGUUGCAUCUGUCCACACAGAAAAUUGCAUCUCAACAAACCUGUCAUUGGUACGCGAACUACAUUUCAGUCACUCAGUAAAGUGAUUACUCAAAAUAUCAUUGUCAACAGAUCUGGAGAAAUUGCCACUGCGUCUUUAGACCGUUUUCGUCAGACGAGAGACGCAGUUCUGACUCUGAUUACUGGUUGCUGAACGUAUCUAUCCACUCAAGGCUGUUGAGAGAGACAGCUCUUAGAGGAUUUGCAGUUUAAAAGUGAAAUAAGUGUGUGAGUGAUUAAACUGUGUUUUAUUGAAGUUGUUGUGCGAUUUUAAAGGAAUAAUAAAUGUU
Molecule: long non-coding RNA, 972 nt
Organism: Schistocerca serialis cubense
Lineage: Eukaryota; Metazoa; Arthropoda; Insecta; Orthoptera; Acrididae
Exons: 4
Source: RefSeq, a predicted model, not a curated record